CCCAAAUAUUUAAAGCAGGCCCAAGCCCAAGUACUUUAUCACUGUCAUUGUUCAGUCCUACGACUUCACCGGCGGUUGCAAUAACUCCCGUCGCUUUCUCCUCCUCCAGGUAAGGUUCGGGUUGCAGUAACUGUCAAAAUGGCUCCGGCGAAAGCACAAAAAAAGGCAGACCCAAAGCUCAGGCUGUAAAGGAUGCCAAGGCUGUGAAAUCUGGCUCAACCUUCAAGAAGUCGGCAAAGAAGAUACGAACAAAAGUCACCUUUCACAGGCCCAGGACAUUGAAGAAGGAUAGAAACCCAAAGUAACCCCGUAUUAGUGCACCUCCAAGGAAGUGAACACUUUGAUCAGGCCUGAUGGAACCAAAAAGGCCUACGUUCGACUGACUCCAGACUAUGAUGCAUUGGAUGUGGUAAACAAGAUUGAGAUAAUCUAAACAGAAACUAGUUGUUUUCGCACACAAAUAGCUCAAUCGACAGUUUUGUUAGCUGUUUUCAGGUCAAAUAGUUUGAGUAGAUCUUAUAGUUGUGACUCUUAAUUAGAGAGGUCAAUAUGUUUGUACUCUUGAGAACAACAUUGUCACUCUUUGCUUACAUGUUAUGUUGGCUUAUGUACUGCUUUGGUUAAUAGAAUUGGUCCGGUUCGUAUUUAGUUGUCUGUUGAGACCAAGUUAAAGAUAUCGAGAUGUGUGCAUACUCAGAGUUGCAGUGUUACUUGGUUUAUAUUGACUUUGUAAACUCCCCAAUUUUGACAAUAAACAUUUGAGGAUGCA
Molecule: long non-coding RNA, 769 nt
Organism: Solanum pennellii
Lineage: Eukaryota; Viridiplantae; Streptophyta; Magnoliopsida; Solanales; Solanaceae
Exons: 4
Source: RefSeq, a predicted model, not a curated record